GAGUACGGUUUACCGCAGGAAACAGCAGUCCGUCAAAGGUUCCACCAACCUUCUACCACAGAUAACUCAAGCAGAGUCGGGCCUGGUUAGUACUUGGAUGGGAGACCACCUGGGAAUACCAGGUGCUGUAAGCU
RNAcentral lists this ribosomal RNA (134 nucleotides) under Monopterus albus (swamp eel). Lineage: Eukaryota; Metazoa; Chordata; Actinopteri; Synbranchiformes; Synbranchidae. The record is from RNAcentral.